RNAcentral lists this ribosomal RNA (253 nucleotides) under uncultured bacterium. RNAcentral describes it as "partial 16S ribosomal RNA". It matches the Rfam family "Bacterial small subunit ribosomal RNA", at positions 524 to 776 of the family's 1533-position model. The record is from RNAcentral.
UACGUAGGGGGCAAGCGUUGUCCGGAUUUAUUGGGCGUAAAGAGCGUGUAGGCGGCUUGGUAGGUCCGCUGUGAAAACUCGAGGCUCAACCUCGAGAUGUCGGCGGAAACCACUUGGCUAGAGUCCGGAAGAGGAGAGUGGAAUUCCUGGUGUAGCGGUGAAAUGCGAAGAUAUCAGGAAGAACACCUAUGGCGAAGGCAGCUCUCUGGGACGGUACUGACGCUGAGACGCGAAAGCGUGGGGAGCGAACAGG